Molecule: long non-coding RNA, 445 nt
Filed under: Homo sapiens (human)
Lineage: Eukaryota; Metazoa; Chordata; Mammalia; Primates; Hominidae
Description: non-protein coding ZNF582-AS1:21
Source: RNAcentral
GCGAGUGACCGAGUGGGCAAGGGGCCGUCACUGUGUGUGCGUGAUUUUGACAGUGUGUGGUGGUAGCUUCUGACUCCGCGUGGGUCGUUGAAUGUAUGACUGGGACCGUUUAGCGGUGGAUACACAACUGUGUGCGGCUGUGGAAGAUUGCCUCAUCCGUUACGUUCCCAUUUCCGUGGAACAACAGUUUUACCAGAAGGUUUCGAAGGAACCUUAAAGUUUGGAAGCGCGGCUUUGGUGUCAUCAAAUGUGAGAAGCCCUGGACUUUACACAUCCCGAGCCAGUGUGAUCCAGUAUGAUUGGGAGUCCGAGUGCCAGAUGCCGGUCAGGACCUGUUAUGCUGGGUCUCAGAAUGCGGAAACUCUCCCUGUCCGAGGUGGAACAGUUUGUCCUUGAGUGAGGACUGGAGUCCUGAGUGACUCUUUUGAUUUGAUCCUGUUUCCCU